RNAcentral lists this long non-coding RNA (9368 nucleotides) under Manihot esculenta (cassava). RNAcentral describes it as "long non-coding RNA (MESC_LNC007093)". The record is from RNAcentral. Lineage: Eukaryota; Viridiplantae; Streptophyta; Magnoliopsida; Malpighiales; Euphorbiaceae.
CUAGAUAAGCAACUGCCCACUUGUGAUCCUUUCCGAAGUACCACCCAGCUUUUUAUCAUUAUCAUAGUUUCCUGAAAAAUCAGUUCAAAUCCUUUCUUCUCUUGAUACAAAAUUAUUGCAUUUAGAAUUCCUCCAACCAAGUUUUCAGAAGAUGCAAGGCGUUAAAGACAAAGCUACAAGUAACGAUUCCAGGGACAAACCCUACAAGGACUCUCUUAUCUCCAAGCAAAUGACAAGAUUUUCAGGUAACGUAAGUCUCAAUAAAGCUGAUAAAAAGAGACAGGAUUGCAAGCUUAAGCAGGCGGAGGAGUCAUUGCGGACUGUCAUAUACCUGAGUUGUUGGGGCCUUAACUGAUACUAAGUGAAACUAUGAUCAGUAGUUUUUAUGCGUAUUAGCUAAGGAAGCAGAUUAAUCUUCUUUUUCCUUCUUUUCAGUUCAACUUUUCAAGUGAGGUGCUAACUAAGACAAACCAUUUGUCAUCGUGUUGAGUGUUGAUUGAAGUUCUUGUACUAUGACAAAAUUAACUAUUUAUUUUCUUUUAAAUCACAAUUAUUAUAUCUAUAUUUUAUAUAAUUAAUUUAUAUGGGCUUAGGUCUGUUUUACUAUUCCAUGUGACAUACAAAAUAAGGAGUAAAAGCAUAGAUUAAAACAUCAGUAAAAACACAAAGGAGAAUAGAAUUACAAAUCCCAUAAAAAUUCUUACAAGUAAAGAAAUGUGUUCUCCCUAAGAAAUGUGUUGUACUAAGAUAAGUGACUAAAAGGGGUGAAUGAGUCCUUUUACCAAAUAUUCAGCUCAUGCUCAAAGUUUUAGUAAAAAAUUGUAAUUACUAAUUAUGAGUGUGAAAAUAUGAUAGAUUCAGUUCAGCCUAUCAUCCCAGACUAAUGUUAUGACUGAGAUGACUAACAGGACCAUCCUACAAGGUCUAAAGAAAAGACUCAACCAAGUCAAGGGCUACUAGUUCGAAGAGUUAUCCCACAUACUGUGGGCAUACAGAAUUACCCCAGGACAGCUACAAAAGAAACACUCUUUUUCCUUAUAUAUGGGGCCGAAGCAAUUAUUCUCCUGGAAAUUCAAGUAGCUGCUUCAGGACACAAUACCCUAAGAUAUCAGGAAAUUCUGAAAAAAUACAUUUCAAUUUGAACCAAGCAGAAUUUCUGCAGGAAAAGGCCACAAUCAUAAUGGCGGUUUACAGAAGCAAGAUGUCCCGAAUAUUCAACAGUAAGGUUAGGCCACACACCUUUAAUGUUGGGGAUAGUCCUUAAAAUGACAUAUUUGAUGGGUGGCAACGCCGGGUCUAGUAAGUUGGGCGAGAAUUGGAAAAGACCAUUCUGGUCUUUAAAUUUAUUCGUCCAGGAUCAUAUAAGCUGACCAAGUUAAAUUGUCAAGUCAUUCUCCACUCCUGGAAUAUCUAUAACCUAAGAAAGUUUUAUCGAUAACAAAUUAACAAGAUAUUUUCACAUGUGGUAUUCUUUAGUAACAAGAAACAAUGGGAUUGCCUCCCUUGAAGAGAGACUAAACUAGGUUACAAGGCGAUUCCAGCCAGACCACUUGGGCAUUGCUCCUACUAAGUAAGGCCAUAAGGCAAUUUUCGCCAGGCUAAGUCACGAGGCGGUUCUCACCAAACCACUUGGGCAUUGGUCUCAUAAAUCUAGGCCACAAGGCAAAUAUUCGCCAGUCCAAGUCACGAGGCAGUUUCCGCUAGACCACUUGAGCGUUGGUCUCACAAAUUAAGAUUAUAAGGCAAUCUUAGCCAGGCCAGGCCAUAAGACAGUUUUUGUCAGGCCAGGCUAUUAGGCAGUCUUUGCUGGGCCAUUUUGGCGUCGAUUCCAUAAAUCAAGGCUACAAGGAAAAUAUUUUCUAGACCAAGUCACGAGGCUGUUCCUGCCAGACCACUUGGGUGUUGGUCUUAUAAAUUAAUGCCACAAGGCAAAUAUUCGCCAGGCCAGAUCACAAGGCGGUUUUCGCUAGACCACUUAGACGUUGAUUCUAUAAAUCAAGGCUUCAAGGGAAAUAUUCGCUACACCAGGCCACGAGGCGGUUCUCGUAAGACCACUUGGGCGUUGGUCCCACAAAUUAAGGCCAUAAGGGAAUCUUAGCCAGGCUAGGCCACAAGGCAAUUUUUACUAAGCAAGGCCAUAAGGCAGUCUUUGCCAGGUUAUUCAGGCAUUGGUCCCAUAAAUCAAGGCCACAAGGCAAAUAUUUGCCAGGCCAAGUCACAAGGCGGUUCCCCCAUACCACUUGGGCGAUGGUCCCACUAAGCAAGGCCAUAAGGCAGUCUUCGCCAGGCCAUCCGGGUGUUGGUCCCACUAAAGGCUGCAAGGCAGUUUAUGCUAGGUCAAGCUACGAGAUGACUCUCGUCAGACCCCAAAUUUAGGCGUUGGCCCCAUUAAUUAAGUCGUCUACAUCAGAUAGCCAGGAAAGACGAAUAUACUAACCCUCGAAAAGAUAAAGGAUGAAGGCGUCAAACAAAGAACUAGAUCGGGUAAAAGAUCCUAAUUAAUAAAUCUACCUAAGGCAUUUUACGACAGAAGGACGAAAGUUUACUGGGCCACAGAUCCAGGUAUUAAUCCUAUUUUUUAGUAACUAUUUUAUAAUUAAACGAGUGUUAAAGAAGAUACCUUUAGCCCCCUUCGUUUGACAAAAAUGGUGGCAAUAAAGGAAGCACACGAAAUAUAUAUUUUUAUUACAAAAGAUUACAAGAAGUCAAGAAAGGGACUUGAAUAAAGUCUCUAUUAUAUCAAAAGUCUUUAUUACAUCAGAAUCCCUAAAAACUAUCCAAUCCUAUGGGAGGAAGUCAACUAAAAUGCCAUGAGAAAAGUUGUCUCUCCAACUAACUUCCUACCCUUGCCUUCAGAAUCAAUCUCGUACAAUCCAGUCUCCUUAGGGAUCGCAACACUAAAAAGUCAUUAUAGUCGAGCUAGUUGCAAUCUUCAAGUAAUGCACAGAGUUAAGCAGUGUGCCCGCACCUUCAGAAAGCCUCGCCUUCAAUUGUUCUAUGAAGACCAUGAUGAUAUCCUCUAUAUUAAUUUGGUAGACUAUGAUGAUAUCCUCCACACAUAUUUGGUUACUCUCAAGAAUAGAAAAAGGAGAAACCUCCACUCCUCUCUCCCCUGAGAAACUGUUGUGAACCAAAAAGAAAAAAAGAAGGGUUCUUAUACAGUGAAGUAGUCGACAAAGUUUUGAAUGCGGCACAGAAGAUAAAGUGACCACAGGCAAGCGAAAUAACACUCACAACCGAGAUCAUGUUGUGUGUCCUAGACCAGAAAGGCAAACGGUCACCUUCGAACCUAAAGAGUUGAAGAUCGGCAGAGACUUUCGAUAUUACAUAUAUCCACUCAAUGUACAUUAUGAGUUGUCACCAUAAAACAGAGGGCAUGUGGCAGGGAUUUGACAAGUGGGAGACACGAUUCCAUUACAGAAAAAGAGAUCUAGACACUUUAACAUCUGGACCAUCAUCAAGACUCGCCCUCCCCUGAUAGGCCGAGUCUUCACACAUAAUCACCGUUACUAGGUACAUUCCCGCUUCGCCUAUGAUUACGAGAUUACUAAUUUAUUAGCUGCCAAUAUCCAUUAUCAAACAGCUAGCCACAUCACUACUGGAUUCUUCGAAAACACUAUAUUUACCUCCAUCCUCUCACAGUAUAAAAGUAGAAUGAUAUUAAAGGUAAAGAUAUGUUAUUCUCUAAUACUAAAACUUUAAGCAAUUCAUUGCAUUCUCUCCUUAUUACAAUACUAACUUGAGCGUCGGAGUGACUGCUGUGAACACCCACCACCGCCUCAUUUUUUUUCCUUGCAAGUUUUAUCUAAUCAUAAUAUAGUCCAUUCCGAUCACAUCAUCAAUCUAAUCUGAGCUACAUCAGAAUUAAUAGAAUAUUAUUUUAAAAAUUAUAUUAUUUGAAAAAUAUAUAUCAUUAAAUUAUUAUAAGUUGAAUCUUAAUUUCAAUAAAUAUUUAUUUAAAUAUUUUUAGAAUUUGUUUAAUUUCAUAUACUUAUCUCAUCCAUUCAUCUAAACAAAAAUUAAUAUAAAUUUAAGUAUUUUAAUUUACUUUAUAUUAACUUACAAUUUAUUAUUUUAACGAUUUUCAUUUCUUAUCUACUGUAUAAUUAUAUUUUAAAAUACUUUGCAUGGUAAUUUUGACAUUAUUAAAUUUAUUAUUAUUACUGAAUAAUAGUCCAAUUGAAAUUUUAAAUGUUAGUAUUCAUUCAAAUUCAAUAACUUACUAUCAUAAUAAAAAAAAUAAAUUUCAUAUUUUUUAAAAACUAAUAGUAAUAAAUAUUAUCUCACUUUUAUUUAUAUUAUAAGUAUCUUCUACUUUAAAUAAAUAUAAUAAACUAUAGAUAAAUUGAAAAUAAAUAUUAAAUAAAUCAAUUUUAUAAUUAUUAACUAUAUAAUUUAUAAAAUAAUAUCAACAAAAGCUUUUAUAUAAAAAUUCUUAAAAUUAUUAAUUGUAUAUAGCUCAAUUAUUAAUAUUUUUAAAUUUAUAAGAUAGGAUAAUUAAUGAAAAAUAUAUUUUUUUUAAUUUUAAACGAGAAAAAGUUAUUCAUGAAGAAAUAUAUAUUUUGAGUUUUGAUUAUACAAGAAUUAUUUUUAAGAAUAAAGUUAUAUAUUUAAUUAAUCAAAAUUAUAUUUUUUUAUUAAAUAAAAUUUAUAUUCAAAUAAAAAAAUUUAACUAAUUAAAUUAAAGAUCUAAUUGCAACUACUAAAUUUAACUACAUCUGUUAUUAGAGAUUUCAUCAUUCAUUUCUCUUUCCACUUUGUAAAUUCAUUGCACUUGAUUUUUUUUAAAUUAUAUUUUAUUAAAUAAAACAAUUUAAAUCUGAACUAAAAAUAUUAAUUUCAUAUAAAUAUUUAAAAUAAUUUAUAACAUUAAAUAAUAUAGUCAAAAAAUAAAAUUUUAGCAUCUUUAACAUUUACAAAGGUUUUUAUUUUUAAAUUUAAAGAAAAAAAUUGUAAUUUUUUUUCUUUCUUUAGUUUUUUCAUGGGAUGUUUAUAUGGAAAAAAAAUUAUUAUUUUAAACUUAAAAAUCAUAUGUAUAUUUUUUAAAAUUACAUUUAUAUGAACAUUACAUAAAAUAUUUAAAAAAUUAAAUUAAAUAUAGAUAAAAAUAAAAUCGAUUUAAUAGUAAAAAAAAGUCAUAAAAUCAAAGAUUACUUAACCUUUUAAAUUUUAUUUAAAUAAAAACAUUAAAAAACAUAAUAAAUUAAACAUAAAAAAUUAUAAAAAUAUUAAACUAAAGUAAGAAAAGUCACGUACACAUAGAAAAUCAAAUUCAAUAUAAAUCUAAAUUAGAUAAGGAUACAAAUAAAUGGGAGAUUAAGAGAGCAGCACAAAUAGUAUUCUGAAAAUUGAGAAUCUAAUAAUGCAAAUUGAAACUUGAGAAGUGUGUUUAGAACUUAAGAAGUUAAUGGUGUGAGUUUAGUAGUAUUAGACAAGUAAAUACUUGAUAAGCAAUUAUACGUAGAUGUAAAAUACCUUUCAUGAAAUCUCAUCCAAUUUAAAUUUGAUUUAUUUUAUAGCAAUCUUUUUAUUUAUUAAACCUAAAUUAAUAAAAAUUACUAAAUUCUCUAUUAAUUUUAUUGAACACUGAUGAUCUGAGAUACAGAUAAUAGGGUUUUACAAGAGUUUUUAUGAACUAAAAAAAAACUUAAACCGAGAGGAGAGUGUUCCUCCCCUUUUAUUCUUUUCUUUUAUCUGUUAGUGACGUGUAACGGCCUUACCGCCAUUAGGCCACCUGUCUCUGCCAUUCUGAUACGGUCGUACGAGAAUAUCAGAUAUUCUGCUUCAUGCGUAACGGCCAUUUAAUUCUCCUCUGACACGCAUGCGGAGGGUCCCACCAGAUGGAUGGGCUGGCCACCUUCCUUCUUCUGGACUGGACUGGAAGAGGAGAUUAAGGCUGAGCUUAGAGGAGGUCUGAUCAUUGGGCCGGAAAAGGCAGGGCCGGCCUGAUUGAGAAAUCUAAAUGGAGCCCGAUCUUAAAACUGAGCGGGUUGGACCUGAUUCACGCGAGAGACUUAGAAGCUUUCAGAUCAUGGACUGUCAUCGUGGAUCUGGCCUUAGACCGGGAUAAUGAAAUCCAGCGGUUAUCAAACACCACACGAAAAUAAAUAAUAAUUAUAUGGAGUAUACAAUAUUUUGAAUUUUUAUUUUAAUUACAUUUUGCUAAUUAUUAUUUUAUGAGAUCUCAAUCACAUUAAAAUAAAUAAUAAUUAUCUGUUAUUAUUUUAAUAUUACGAUAAUUAUUUUUGAUAUUUUUAAAUAAUAUUUAAAUUUUUUUAUUUUAAUAAUUUUAUCUCAAAAAAUUUAAUUUAAAUAUUAUUAAAAUUAUUAUUUUUUAAUAAUUAUUCUACAUAUUACCAAAUAAAAAAAUUUAACAUGCAUUAAUUUUAAAUAAUAAAUAUUUAAAACUAUUUUAAGUGAUAUAUAAAUAAUUUAUUAAUUUAAAAUUAUUUAAAUAAUAAAAUAAUUAUCUAUUUUAAAAUAUAAAUUCAAUUAUAAAUAACUAAAUAAUAUAAAAUAAAAUCGAUAAUCUUAUUAUUCUCCCUCUUCUCGCUUUUACAGUAUAAGGAUAAAAUCAUAAUCCCAUUAUUAUUUUCUUCCUAUUUUUAUAUAUAGUAUAGAUAUAUAAGGUAAUAUUUAGUUUUAAUUUCAAAAUCAAACUAUAAAUUUUUUGAAAAUGAAAACUUUUAUUUAAUAAAAUAUUGGAAAUAUUAACAUACGGAAAAAAGAAAAAAAAUGGGAAUGAGAAGGAUAGGUUGCAAAACGUGUAGAAUUUUAAUCAAGUGGUUUUAUCCACUCUUUCGAGUCGGGAAAACAAGUGGCUUGGACUUGAAAGCACUGACAACUAAAACAAGUGGUUUUGGGCUCCCAUUCCUCCGGCGUAGCUUGAUUUUGCUAAACAAAACCUUGUGCACAUUCUCCAACUGAACAAAGUUCUCUAAACCCCAUUUUGCCUUCGCAUAGUUAAUUUGACAAACAGAUAAUGCAAGGGUAAGCAAGUCAACUCCUCUGAAAAAACUACUUGCCUUGCAAAUUACAGCAGGCCUAAAAACCAUUGGCUAGCUGAUGGUUUCACCAGACUUUAGGCUGUAAUCCUCCUCUAUAAAUAUACCCAUCAUCAGUGAAUUAUUCCUCAGGUUCAGCAUACUGAAAAUAUAUUUUAAGCUGCUUUGUGAAUUUAAAUUUUUGGAUCUCUAAUUUUUAGAUAGAAAAACAAGGGAAUUGAAGAUGGUUUUAGCAGUAAAAGCUUGGAUGGUUGCAGCCAGCAUUGGAGCUGUGGAGGCGUUGAAGGACCAAGGAUUCUGCAGAUGGAACUACACCAUUAGGUCAGUGAACCAGCAUGUCAAGAAUAACCUCAAGACUAUAUCUCAGGCCAAGAAGAUAUCUUCCUCUUCAUCUGCUGCUGUAGUCUCAAGGAAAGUGAGGGAAUCAAGGCAAGCAGAGGAGUCUCUGAGGACAGUCAUGUACUUGAGUUGCUGGGGUCCCAACAGCUGAGGAUAAUCCGCAUGCUUAUAAAAGCUUUGGCAUAUAAAUAUUUUCAAGAUUUGGUCUUUCACACAGCUAGAGGAGACAUAUCUGAAGCCAAACUCUUGGUCUCUAAUUUAGAACAUAGAUGAUGGAUUUUUGUAAUAUGAGGUGUAAUUUGUAUAAUAUGUUGAAUACGAAAUAUUAUGAUAAUUUAAUAUUUUUGUUCACCUCCCUUUUUCUUCUUAUUUUUUAGUAAAUUAUAAUUUAGCUUUUGUAGUGUAAUUAAAAUCUAUAAACUGGUGCCUAUCUAACUUAAUCCGGAAGUUUAAAGCUGGUUUCAUUCAAUUAAUAAAUUCAUGUUCUGAGUUUUUAUAUCUCUAAUCCUUGAUUAAAAAAUUCAGAAUAAUAGAGAAAUUUAUGCAUUUUUUCUCCCUCUGUAGUUUUACCUAGAGAGACUUUUCUCUUUGAGAAUCUGAUUUAUUGAGGAACAAGUCCUCUGUUUGUGCCCAAGUAGGGGUUGAGAAAGCUUUCUUCUUCCACUUUGUCUGAUUUUGCGUGUUUCUUUCUCCCCUUCGAGUGGGAGGUGUAAAUAAGUGUCUGUGGUUUCUUUUGUUUGUUGGUUUUGCUUCUAUCUUGAUUGCAGGAUGAACUUGCAGGGUGGAUUUGUAGAUUUUGCGAUUUUCUGUUAGUGAGUGGAAGAUCGGCAAGGGGCCUUGGUUUAGGCGGUCGUCAUCUUCUGGGGUCGAUGCCAAGUGAAUCCGUGAACGGUGAUCUUUGUUACUGACCGGUAAGAGAAACUCUUCCACCACUCCUCACGGCAAUAAAUCAUCAGUGUUACUCGUCACAACGCCUAUCUCCCCGAAGGAUAUUUGCGGGAGAGCUCUUUAUUCUUUAAUAUAGUUGUAAGCCCUCUAGAUAUUAUUGGUAGUCUCCCCUUUGAUGGGCUUGUUGUUCUCCUGAUUUUGGGAGUUCGGCCAACUUGAGGUUUGGUGCUGCAUGUGUUUCUUUAUUUUUUAUUUUUAGUAUUGAGAUGAAAUGGGUCGGAUAAUUCUGUUCGCUGCUAAGGAUCUCCUAGUUUUGGUCUCUGAUGGCUGGCAAGACAAGUGGCAAUGAGAUGUUCCAGAUCCAUCUUUCUGUUUCAAGAUUAGGGUUGUACUGGUUCCAGGUCAUGAGCUUGGAUUGUUUACAUUUUUGGACUUUAAUUUAUAUUCUUUUCGGGCCUUUCUUUCAGGUUGUAAUAAUGGUUUUCUACUAUUUUGAUUUAUCAAUGAAACUCUUUAUUUCUAAUAAAAAAUCCUUGGCUAAAAAAAAUCUAUACAUUAAUAGCUAAUUUGAUUUAAUACAAAGGUUAAAAGGCAUUUAAAUUCAAGUGUCUGCCCUUUAAUCCCUUAUUUAAAAAGCAUUAAUGGAUUUUUAUAUUUUCAAAAGCCACUUACAUAAUUUUUAUUUGAAUUAAUUGCAAAAAAAAAUUAUAUUUUUAAUUUUGUUGUAAUUAUACUCUACUUUUUUUAGUAAAUCUUCAUGUAAUAUUCGGCUAAAUUUUGCUCACUUUCCGAUGAAAUUUUCGUUGAAAUAUGAAAUUUUAGAAUCGAAAAAAAUGGUAAAAUAGAUAUUUAAAAUGGUAAAAUAGAUAUUUUAUAAAAUAAAUUUUAAGUAUUUUAAAAUAUAUUUAAAAAUAAAUGCUUUGGAAGAAUUUAAGAUCUGGAGGUAGCUUUUUCAAUCCUCCUAUAAAAGGGCUCCAACCUGAAAAGAGAGAAAUUUUUCUUCAUUUUCAAGCAUAAAUGAGUUAAAAUACCUUCCUUGAUGCUUUUAAAUUUUCUUAAGUCAGUCCCCUCACUCCUUCAUUUAUUUUUAGGUUUUGAAGAACAAACUUAGGUUUUGGAGAUUGAACUCUUUUAAAA